AGGUCCUUCCUGGGUACUGGAAUGCCAAAGAUGUUGAAGGCGUUAUCUCUGCCCUUGAGAGUGUCAGAGUCCAGUGGCCUAAGAAAGACUCAUAAGCAGAUAGUUGAGUAAAGCAAGAUCGAUGCUGGAUACGGAAAUUUCCCUGUACAUCCAGUGUAUCAAUUUCACAGGGAGGAGAGCCGAGAAGAAAACGAGUUUGUGUUUGUUGAUUUCCUACUACGUGCAGGGAACUACAGCAGGUGUUUUACUUGUGUUCUUUAGUUUGGUUCUCACAGCCAACAGUUUUCAGGUUCAUGGGCAGCUGAGUUAGAAGACAGGAACUCAGAUAAAAGCUGGAGAAUUUGGGGCACCUGGCUCAGCUGAUUAAGCGUUCAAAUCUUGGUU
Molecule: long non-coding RNA, 384 nt
Organism: Prionailurus viverrinus (fishing cat)
Lineage: Eukaryota; Metazoa; Chordata; Mammalia; Carnivora; Felidae
Exons: 3
Source: RefSeq, a predicted model, not a curated record